Molecule: ribosomal RNA, 438 nt
Filed under: uncultured bacterium
Lineage: Bacteria
Description: bacterial SSU rRNA
Rfam family: Bacterial small subunit ribosomal RNA
Source: RNAcentral
GACGAACGCUGGCGGCGCGCCUAACACAUGCAAGUCGAACGAGCGAGAGAGAGCUUGCUUUCUCGAGCGAGUGGCGAACGGGUGAGUAACGCGUGAGGAACCUGCCUCAAAGAGGGGGACAACAGUUGGAAACGACUGCUAAUACCGCAUAAGCCCACGACCCGGCAUCGGGUAGAGGGAAAAGGAGCAAUCCGCUUUGAGAUGGCCUCGCGUCCGAUUAGCUAGUUGGUGAGGUAACGGCCCACCAAGGCGACGAUCGGUAGCCGGACUGAGAGGUUGAACGGCCACAUUGGGACUGAGACACGGCCCAGACUCCUACGGGAGGCAGCAGUGGGGAAUAUUGCACAAUGGGGGAAACCCUGAUGCAGCGACGCCGCGUGGAGGAAGAAGGUCUUCGGAUUGUAAACUCCUGUUGUUGAGGAAGAUAAUGACGGUACU